Molecule: unclassified non-coding RNA, 200 nt
Filed under: uncultured Byssocorticium
Lineage: Eukaryota; Fungi; Basidiomycota; Agaricomycetes; Atheliales; Atheliaceae
Description: sequence contains ITS1
Source: RNAcentral
UCGAAUUAUAGGCAAAGGUUGUCGCUGGCCCUCCCUGGGGGCAUGUGCACGCCCGAGCUCAUUAAUCCAAAUUACACCUGUGAACUUAAUGUGGGAUGGUCUCCCUUCGGGGAAGCAAGUCUCAUGUCUUUCAUACACACACACUUGUCUCAGAAUGUCUUAUUAUGUUGUUUGCUUUGACGCAAUCAAAUAAAUAAAUA